This 306-nucleotide ribosomal RNA is filed under the name uncultured bacterium. RNAcentral's name for it is "bacterial SSU rRNA". It matches the Rfam family "Bacterial small subunit ribosomal RNA", at positions 28 to 334 of the family's 1533-position model. The record is from RNAcentral.
GACGAACGCUGGCGGCGUGCUUAACACAUGCAAGUCGAACGGUGAACCAGAGCUUGCUCUGGGGAUCAGUGGCGAACGGGUGAGUAACACGUGGGCAACCUGCCCCAGACUCUGGGAUAACCUCGGGAAACCGAUGCUAAUACCGGAUACGACCACUUCGGACAUCCGACGGUGGUGGAAAGUUUUUCGGUCUGGGAUGGGCCCGCGGCCUAUCAGCUAGUUGGUGGGGUAAUGGCCUACCAAGGCGACGACGGGUAGCCGGCCUGAGAGGGCGACCGGCCACACUGGAACUGAGACACGGUCCAG